Molecule: ribosomal RNA, 943 nt
Filed under: Campylobacter jejuni
Lineage: Bacteria; Pseudomonadati; Campylobacterota; Epsilonproteobacteria; Campylobacterales; Campylobacteraceae
Description: bacterial SSU rRNA
Rfam family: Bacterial small subunit ribosomal RNA
Source: RNAcentral
UCUUGUGAAAUCUAAUGGCUUAACCAUUAAACUGCUUGGGAAACUGAUAGUCUAGAGUGAGGGAGAGGCAGAUGGAAUUGGUGGUGUAGGGGUAAAAUCCGUAGAUAUCACCAAGAAUACCCAUUGCGAAGGCGAUCUGCUGGAACUCAACUGACGCUAAGGCGCGAAAGCGUGGGGAGCAAACAGGAUUAGAUACCCUGGUAGUCCACGCCCUAAACGAUGUACACUAGUUGUUGGGGUGCUAGUCAUCUCAGUAAUGCAGCUAACGCAUUAAGUGUACCGCCUGGGGAGUACGGUCGCAAGAUUAAAACUCAAAGGAAUAGACGGGGACCCGCACAAGCGGUGGAGCAUGUGGUUUAAUUCGAAGAUACGCGAAGAACCUUACCUGGGCUUGAUAUCCUAAGAACCUUUUAGAGAUAAGAGGGUGCUAGCUUGCUAGAACUUAGAGACAGGUGCUGCACGGCUGUCGUCAGCUCGUGUCGUGAGAUGUUGGGUUAAGUCCCGCAACGAGCGCAACCCACGUAUUUAGUUGCUAACGGUUCGGCCGAGCACUCUAAAUAGACUGCCUUCGUAAGGAGGAGGAAGGUGUGGACGACGUCAAGUCAUCAUGGCCCUUAUGCCCAGGGCGACACACGUGCUACAAUGGCAUAUACAAUGAGACGCAAUACCGCGAGGUGGAGCAAAUCUAUAAAAUAUGUCCCAGUUCGGAUUGUUCUCUGCAACUCGAGAGCAUGAAGCCGGAAUCGCUAGUAAUCGUAGAUCAGCCAUGCUACGGUGAAUACGUUCCCGGGUCUUGUACUCACCGCCCGUCACACCAUGGGAGUUGAUUUCACUCGAAGCCGGAAUACUAAACUAGUUACCGUCCACAGUGGAAUCAGCGACUGGGGUGAAGUCGUAACAAGGUAACCGUAGGAGAACCUGCGGUUGGAUCACCUCCUUUCUA